AUUCGAGCGGAUCACAACUUAACACAGCUGAAGGACUUCUCCACGCUGCUUUCAAACUUCGCCAGCUGACAUGUGAACCAAACCCCAGCAUAUUCCUCCAGGAUGCUGCAGCAGAUGACUGACCUCCAUAUGACGAGACUGGAGAAGAGGGCUUUGAUCAUCGUCCAGACCAUCAUUUUCAAGUAUGGAUCACCGUCUCCAAGGAACUGCAGCAGAGCCAGGUCAAUAAGACGUUUCCAGCGGGAGUCCUUCUGCAGAGCGAUGCCGUAUCCUGUGGUGGCAAAUACUUUCCCGCUGCCGAUGGUCACCAGCUUGCAGCCCUCGUCCUUCCCGGCCAUGUAGUUCAAAACGGCAGCGUCGUAGAUGAAAGCGUCCAGUUUCCUGCAUCACAAUAAAGCGUCUUUAUCUGAGAAAAGGUUUAGGUCCUAAAAAGUGUAAUAGUUUCUUACACACAUGUUAGACUUGUAUGUCUGUCCUAAAGAAGUCUUCAGUAUUAGUGGUUUUAUACUCAAACCGUUCAAUACAAAUGGUGUAUACCUAUGCUCUGGGGACCAUGAAUGUGAGAGGUUUUACUGAGUGUACAAAAUGUUUAAUGCUCAAUAUGGUUAAAAUAACUUCAAAUGUUUUCAACUGGUUAUAAGUGAAGAUUUAAUGUUUGACAGCUCUUUUUUUUAUACAAAGUAAACUGCACUAGGCUUGAUUUGUUUUCAUCUAAAAAUACACCCAUCAAAUCGGCCUGUUCACAAAUAAA
Gymnodraco acuticeps is the source of this 751-nucleotide long non-coding RNA. RefSeq lists it as uncharacterized. Lineage: Eukaryota; Metazoa; Chordata; Actinopteri; Perciformes; Bathydraconidae. The transcript has 3 exons. The record is from RefSeq and is a predicted model, not a curated record.